UGCCAGCCGCCGCGGUAAUACGGAUGGUGCGAGCGUUAAUCGGAAUUACUGGGCGUAAAACGCGCGUAGGCGGUUUUGUAAGUCAGAUGUGAAAGCCCAGGGCUCAACCUUGGAACUGCAUUUGAUACUGCAUGACUAGAGUGCGAUAGAGGGGGGUAGAAUUUCAGGUGUAGCGGUGAAAUGCGUAGAGAUCUGAAGGAAUACCAGUGGCGAAGGCGGCUUUCUGGACCGAUACUGACGCUGAGACGCGAAAGCGUGGGGAGCAAACAGGAUUAGAUA
This 279-nucleotide ribosomal RNA is filed under the name uncultured bacterium. RNAcentral's name for it is "partial 16S ribosomal RNA". It matches the Rfam family "Bacterial small subunit ribosomal RNA", at positions 506 to 784 of the family's 1533-position model. The record is from RNAcentral.